RNAcentral lists this long non-coding RNA (199 nucleotides) under Elaeis guineensis (African oil palm). Its description in RNAcentral is "long non-coding RNA (EGUI_LNC044999)". Lineage: Eukaryota; Viridiplantae; Streptophyta; Magnoliopsida; Arecales; Arecaceae. The record is from RNAcentral.
UCUUAAAAUAUCCAAAAAUCUAUUUCUAACCAUUAGAGACUAUUGGAGGAAAUUUCGUAUGGAUAAAAUUUAUGAAAAGGCCUAGAGCUCAAAAUAACUAUGUCGAACAGGUCCAUCAAUAGGGGUCUCCGACGACUCAAGGUUGGCCACCAUCUUCUCUGAUGAUUCAAGGUCAGCAACUACUUUCCUCAAUUAGUCC